This is a long non-coding RNA of Gasterosteus aculeatus aculeatus (three-spined stickleback), 795 nucleotides long. The record is from Ensembl. NCBI's taxonomy places the organism in Eukaryota, Metazoa, Chordata, Actinopteri, Perciformes, Gasterosteidae.
AUGAGGUUGUGGUCUCAAGCCAAGCAGGCCUUGUGCAAAAUACUUGCAGUUCCUUUGAUACAAUAACCAAUAUUUUCCCUUUGCAGAGCGAGAGUGCAUCUCCAUCCAUGUUGGUCAAGCUGGUGUCCUGCUGGGAGCUCUGGUGCCCAGUGCAGACAGAUGCCCAUCAGCAAGACCAUCGCAGGAGGAGACGACUCCUUCAACACUUUCUCCAGUGAGAGCGGAGCCAGAAAGCAUCUGGACCUGGAGCCCGCUGUCGAUGAGGUGGACAGGGGGACUUACUGCCGCCUGUUCCACCCUGAGCAGCUGAUCACUGCUUAGGAGGAUGCUGCUAACAAUUAAGCCUGUGGAAACAAUAUCACAGGCGUAGUGCUGGACAGGAUUCCCAAGCUGUCAGACCAGCUCCAGAGGUGGGACCGGCUUCACCUCUCCCCUGAUGGAGCAUCUGUCUGUCGACUACAUCCUAAGGAACUACAGUCCAGCAUGGGGCUUCUGAGGCACAGAUAGACGGCCUUGUAUCUAAUUAUAUCAUUCCAAAAAGGCUUUGGUCCCUGGAUCCUUUGAUUGAAUGGACCUUUUGAGAAAAGACCACCAACCUGCCUGGGCUCCAUCAUGUAGCAACUGGUUUAGUGCACCAUCAGCAUCAGGAACGGACACAACAUCUGGAAAAAUAUAAUGGUGUUGUCAUGGUGCAGGGGUAGAAAGGGUGCACUGGGAACUGCAAGGUUGGUGGUUUGAGUCCCAGCUGCCCAAAGUGUCCCUGAACAAGACACCUAACCCCUAAUUGCUCCCUGG